GCAGUACUAGUACUGUGCUCCAAGAAAGGCAGGUUUAUACUUAGCUGUGGUCCUCAGUGGAGUCCCCAGACCUGCAAUAUCUGGGAACAGCUAAGAAAUUCAAAUUCUCAGGCUCCAGUGCAGACUUAAGAGAUCAGAAACUCUAUCUAGGGGUGGAGUUAGCAAUCUGGACUGUGACCAGCCCUCCAGGUGAUUGUGAGAAUGCAUCCUAAGACAGAGAACCACAGAGCCACAGAAAGAAGAGGCCCUGUGAAGGGAGACCCGAGGGUAUGGAGAGUUGUUGGCUCCAGCUUGGGCGCACUCGUUCUCUCUUUCUGUUUCUUUCUUCCCUCUUCCCUUCUGUUCUCUUUUCCCCUUCCGCCUCCUCUUCCUCCCCCUCCUCCUCCUCUUCCUCCUCCCCCUCCUCCUCCUCCUUCUUCUUCUUCUUCUCUCUCUCUCUCCCUUUCUCCCUCCCUCCCUCCCUCCCUCCCUCCUCUCUCUCCUGUCUGCUGUCAUUGGGAAGCUGUGUGGUCAGCCAGUCAAAAAGCAGAUUUCAGAGUCAGGAGUUCCAGGGUUCACAGUUGAGCUCCAUUCCCUACUGGGUGACUGAGGGCAGUUUCUAAACUUCUCUGAUCCUGUUCUGCCCUCUGAAGAAGGGGAAAAUAAUACAUCCUGUGUACGAUUGUUAUUGGGAAUCAAUGAGCUAGUGUAUGGAAGAGGCUGCAUGUGGUUCUUGGUACAAAGAAGCAGAUUAUUAUCAGUUACAUGUAGGUGAGGCAUCCAAAAUGCUAGGAGAAAAAACCUGAGCCUUUACACGGUAUCGCUGUGUCCAUUGUUACCUUAUCAACUCCCAUAGCAUGCUCACUUUUUUUCAUAGAAAUUGUCUAUUUUCCAUGAUUAUUCAGUGAAUCCACAACAAUCUCAUUCUUGGUUAGGGACUCAUUAAAGUGUUAUCAGUCUUAUGGAAUUAUUUAAAACCUGUGAACUCCCCCAAAUAAUGCUUGAGGGUUCCAACCUUCCCUGCCCCCUCACAAUACAGCUUCAGAAGCUGAUUUGAUCAAGUGAAACCACUGUGCCUCCUACUUCAUUUUCCCGGGUUUGCUGCUUUUCUAAGUAUGUCUCACAAAAUGUAUGCUGCUCUUUUUUUCUUUUAGUCUUCAUAUUGUAUAUUAGAUCCCUAGACUUCUUUGUUCUACACAUCUGCUGCUCUGUAUUCUGACCUACAUCUGCAUACUGCUUUAAUAGAAUGGAUGUUUGCAGACGUGACUGUGAUAUUGGAAUAUGGAAGGAUCCAUCCAGGGUCAGGAAGCAGCAGGCUGGCUUCAUUCUCAGUGUUUGUUUUCUGGGUCUUUGAAGGAGAGGUGUUGCAGGGAAAAAGGUCGUGCAUCAGGAAGUGUCAUUUAAAAAGGACCUGAGUUGGGCUGAGUUAUCAGCAAAUACACGCCAUGGCUGUGCUCCCCACCCCCCACCGUACACUAGCAGGGCAGCAGCUCUGAUUGUCUAACGAGCAGCAGAGCCGCCCAGCAGCAACCACAUUAGGAAGGAAUCGGAAACCAACGCUCCGCUGGCUGUCACCCCUUACCCACUUGCUGUCAGACCACAGCCUGAGGCAGCCAAACCCAUUUCCUUGGGGAUCCAGCGCAAACCAGAGAGUGUGGACAGGCCGAUGGAAGAAUGUUGGACCAGCUUUAAGAAUGGGCUGUUCUAAGUCAUGAAUAUUGUAGGAAGCAGCUCUAAGGACCACAGGGCUGGAGGGUGCACAGGAAGGGGCCAGUGCAUACAGACAAAAUAUUACUCUGUCACCCAGACUGGAGUCCAGUGGUGUGAUCUCAGCUCACUGCAACCUCCGCCCCCUCAAGUCCAAGCCACUCUCAUGCCUCAGUCUCCUGAGUAGCUGGGAUUACAGGCACCCACCACCACGUCUGGCUAAUUUUUGUAUUUUUAGUAGAGACAGGGUUUUGCCAUCUUGGCCAGCCUGGUCUCGAACUCCUGGCCUCAAGUGAUCUGUCCACCUCAGCCUCCCAAAGUGCUGGGAUUACAGAUGUGAGCCACCACACCUGGCCUAAAAUGUCAUAUAUUUUGAACUGACUGACUUCUCCAAAAACUUAUGGUUAUUAGUUGAGAGAGAAAACUUGAGAGAAAGUUUCCCUGCACUUGGAUGAGAGGAGAGCGGAACAGCCUGCAUCUCUGGUGCUGGGGAGUAUCAAAUAAGGGGAAUUGGGAGAAGGAUGGAGGCAACAGCGUAGCUCUUUGCCUUUCAAAAUUAAAAUGGGAUGCUGCUUUAUAUUACAAAUCUAAGGAAUUAGAAGAGCAGCAAACUAAGCAACUAAGUUUGUUCUCCUUGCAUAAACUUUAAAAAGCCAGCUUAAAAGUUCUCAAGCUUAAAAUUCG
Molecule: long non-coding RNA, 2370 nt
Filed under: Homo sapiens (human)
Lineage: Eukaryota; Metazoa; Chordata; Mammalia; Primates; Hominidae
Description: HSALNT0339585
Source: RNAcentral